AGGCAUCGGACAAACCCAACGACUCUAAGCCCUGCGGGCAGAACCCGGGCCCGACCGCAAACAGGAUGAGUGGACUCCACAUGGUGGUUCAUGACCAACAGAAAAACUCCAAAGGUUAUGAUUGAUAUGAACCACAUUCACCAGGAAGGAGAGUACAGAAAGAAGGCAAGAAAUAUAAUGAAAAGAGGAGGCUGUAGCAAAAACAAAGCAGCAAAAAUGUGGAAGGUGCCAAUAAAGAUGAAAGAAGGGGAGGAAGAGUAAUAGGGGUGGGGGUAAGGGAAGAGGGGCAACAAGCAAUAUCUGUCACUGUUUCUCUGGCCACCAAGCAGUCAAUGGAAUAAAAGCAUAUAUGGUGUCACAG
Molecule: long non-coding RNA, 361 nt
Organism: Ornithorhynchus anatinus (platypus)
Lineage: Eukaryota; Metazoa; Chordata; Mammalia; Monotremata; Ornithorhynchidae
Exons: 4
Source: RefSeq, a predicted model, not a curated record